Molecule: transfer RNA, 74 nt
Filed under: Spirochaetales bacterium
Lineage: Bacteria; Pseudomonadati; Spirochaetota; Spirochaetia; Spirochaetales
Description: tRNA-Gly
Rfam family: tRNA
About the family: Transfer RNA (tRNA) molecules are approximately 80 nucleotides in length. Their secondary structure includes four short double-helical elements and three loops (D, anti-codon, and T loops).
Source: RNAcentral
GCGAGCGUCGUAUAACGGCAUUACCCGAGCUUCCCAAGCUCGUGACGAGGGUUCGACUCCCUUCGCUCGCUUCA